RNAcentral lists this ribosomal RNA (704 nucleotides) under uncultured bacterium. RNAcentral describes it as "bacterial SSU rRNA". It matches the Rfam family "Bacterial small subunit ribosomal RNA", at positions 127 to 851 of the family's 1533-position model. The record is from RNAcentral.
UGCCCUGUACACACGGAUAACAUACCGAAAGGUAUGCUAAUACGGGAUAACAUAAGAAAUUCGCAUGUUUUUCUUAUCAAAGCUCCGGCGGUACAGGAUGGACCCGCGUCUGAUUAGCUAGUUGGUGAGGUAAUGGCUCACCAAGGCGACGAUCAGUAGCCGACCUGAGAGGGUGAUCGGCCACAUUGGAACUGAGACACGGUCCAAACUCCUACGGGAGGCAGCAGUGGGGAAUAUUGCACAAUGGGCGAAAGCCUGAUGCAGCAACGCCGCGUGAGCGAUGAAGGCCUUCGGGUCGUAAAGCUCUGUCCUCAAGGAAGAUAAUGACGGUACUUGAGGAGGAAGCCCCGGCUAACUACGUGCCAGCAGCCGCGGUAAUACGUAGGGGGCUAGCGUUAUCCGGAUUUACUGGGCGUAAAGGGUGCGUAGGCGGUCUUUUAAGUCAGGAGUGAAAGGCUACGGCUCAACCGUAGUAAGCUCUUGAAACUGGAGGACUUGAGUGCAGGAGAGGAGAGUGGAAUUCCUAGUGUAGCGGUGAAAUGCGUAGAUAUUAGGAGGAACACCAGUAGCGAAGGCGGCUCUCUGGACUGUAACUGACGCUGAGGCACGAAAGCGUGGGGAGCAAACAGGAUUAGAUACCCUGGUAGUCCACGCCGUAAACGAUGAGUACUAGCUGUCGGAGGUUACCCCCUUCGGUGGCGCAG